UUUUUUCAGAAUCGUCGUGCUCAUUUACAGCUGAACUAAUUAUAGGUUGCAACACACAGCGAUAAGGAAAAAAGAAAAUGAUGGUGGCUGAACUUUAAAACCGGACUGCGGUGUGUUGAUAAUUUGAAACGAGAUUUUCCAUCUAGAACUGAAUAAUAUUUGUUGGAUUCGUUCGGAAAUAUCGUGCAGCAACAAAUCCGCCCCUGAAAGUGACAUUACAAACACGCCAAAUGAGCGCCCGAAUCAGUGAAAACUAGGUCUUGCUCUAAAUUGAAGUUAAUCGAUCCAUCACAAUGCAACACCAUCCAGGGUCAUGGUAUCUUCCUUGGGGUGUCCCCUUCCAGAAAAUGGUCGCCCUGCCGAUCCCUGCGACUCAUUUGCACAUGCAAACCCCCACCAUGCACGUCCAGGCAAUGCUGGGGGGUUUGCCGACACCUCUGGCCACGCUGAGGACGUUCAUGACGCAGCCGACACAACAACAACAG
Molecule: long non-coding RNA, 485 nt
Organism: Leptinotarsa decemlineata (Colorado potato beetle)
Lineage: Eukaryota; Metazoa; Arthropoda; Insecta; Coleoptera; Chrysomelidae
Source: RefSeq, a predicted model, not a curated record